Molecule: long non-coding RNA, 1297 nt
Filed under: Homo sapiens (human)
Lineage: Eukaryota; Metazoa; Chordata; Mammalia; Primates; Hominidae
Description: novel transcript
Source: RNAcentral
AGUGAUUAAGCACAUAGGUUCUGGAGCCAGUCUGUUUCUUUCAAAAUCACCUCAUUGCUUUUGAAGAAUCAGGGAAACCCCCAUGAGACUACAGGUGUGAAGCAAGAUAGAAGCAUCAGUGCAAAAGAGUACUGCAUUUCCAAAUAAAGCCACUCACAAUCUUUAAUCAGGCUGUAAAUUUUAAGAAAUCUGGACCAAGACAGUUUGCUCCAAGAGUAUCCCACAAAUGCAGAUCUUCAGAGUGAGAUUUUAUUAUUGGAUUGCUCACCUGUCUGUUGUUCCUCUAAUCUGAUGGGACACUCCCGCAAUGAUGCUUCAGCUGUAUUUUAACCUCAAGAAACCCUAAGAUCCCUCACUCCUAUGCUGCUGUCAACGGGAGGCUAAGAAGCACAGAGAAAUAGGCCAUACAAAGUCUACCUCUCUGAACACUCUGGUUUGUUGAGAUGACAGAUGGUUAAGUCUCUCUCUGACAUCAAGAGUUAGAGCCAAAGUUAUCAUGGAAUUGUUUCUUUUGGAAUGUCAAGUUUAUGUGCACCGUAUCACUCUUCUGAAAUGGACUCAAGAUUCAGGGUCUCAUCUCACUUUUGAUUUAACUACACUCAUAUUCAUCCAUGUGUGAAAAAUGGUGAUCACACUAGAAAGCUUGUUCUUACUGUUUCCUUGCAUAUCUGAAUACCUGCAUCACAUUCAAAUCUAACUCACUGCCUUAAUUUAAUAGCUGAAAGAAACACUGAACAAGUCACACUCCUGCAAGGGCAUGGAACACAGAAUGAAGUUAGCAAACCAUGAUUGGUCUUAAGGAGCCAUCAAAAUCCAAUUUCCUUCAAGCUUUCUGCCUAGCCUUCCUUCACAUAUAGCUUCCAUUCUCCAGUUUCCCCCUGUGAACCUGAUUCUCUUACUGAGAUACCUUGGAACAUGGUUUGAAUAAUAUUGCUCUAACUUCUUUCAUGUCAGGAAGCUCUGAGAUGCAGAAACACAGAAAGGAAGAGGAUUAGCAACUUUCCCAGAUCUGAGUUGAGCUGAGAUUUGAGUCAAGGCAAUAUUGCUUCUGGGGCUGUAACAACUACAUUUUAUUGUCUCCUGAACAGAUACUUCCUUUUCUUACUUAAUAAGAAUAGACCUUGGAGGUCUGGACCUGGACAUGAACGUACACUUUUCUAAAGAAGAUAUACACAUGGCCAACAAGCAUGUGAAAAAAAGCUCAAUAUCACUGAUCAUUAGAGAAAUGCAAAUGAAAAUCACAAUGAGAGACCAUCUCACACCAGUCAGAAUGGCUAUUAUUAAAAACUCAAAAAAU